UACGGAGGGGGCUAGCGUUGUUCGGAAUCACUGGGUGUAAAGGGUGCGUAGGCGGUCUGUUAAGUCUGAUGUGAAAUCCCUGGGCUCAACUCAGGAAUGGCAUUGGAAACUAGCAGGCUAGAGUACCGGAGAGGGAAGCGGAAUUCCUGGUGUAGCGGUGAAAUGCGUAGAUACCAGGAGGAACACCGGUGGCGAAGGCGGCUUCCUGGACGAGUACUGACGCUGAGGCACGAAAGCGUGGGGAGCGAACGGG
RNAcentral lists this ribosomal RNA (253 nucleotides) under uncultured bacterium. RNAcentral's name for it is "partial 16S ribosomal RNA". It matches the Rfam family "Bacterial small subunit ribosomal RNA", at positions 524 to 776 of the family's 1533-position model. The record is from RNAcentral.